Molecule: ribosomal RNA, 405 nt
Filed under: uncultured Eubacteriales bacterium
Lineage: Bacteria; Bacillati; Bacillota; Clostridia; Eubacteriales
Description: uncultured Clostridiales bacterium partial 16S ribosomal RNA
Rfam family: Bacterial small subunit ribosomal RNA
Source: RNAcentral
UGGGGAAUAUUGGGCAAUGGAGGCAACUCUGACCCAGCAACGCCGCGUGAAGGAAGAAGGUCUUCGGAUUGUAAACUUCUGUCGCAGGGGACGAAAGAAAUGACGGUACCCUGCAAGAAAGCCCCGGCUAACUACGUGCCAGCAGCCGCGGUAAUACGUAGGGGGCAAGCGUUGUUCGGAAUUACUGGGCGUAAAGGGUGCGUAGGCGGACAAAUAAGUCAGAUGUGAAAUCCCCGGGCUCAACCUGGGUGGUGCAUUUGAAACUAUUUAUCUUGAGUGCAGGAGAGGAAAGCGGAAUUCCUAGUGUAGCGGUGAAAUGCGUAGAUAUUAGGAGGAACGCCAGUGGCGAAGGCGGCUUUCUGGACUGUAACUGACGCUGAGGCACGAAAGCGUGGGGAGCAAACA